This 253-nucleotide ribosomal RNA is filed under the name uncultured bacterium. Its description in RNAcentral is "partial 16S ribosomal RNA". It matches the Rfam family "Bacterial small subunit ribosomal RNA", at positions 524 to 776 of the family's 1533-position model. The record is from RNAcentral.
UACGGAGGGGGCUAGCGUUGUUCGGAAUUACUGGGCGUAAAGCGCACGUAGGCGGACUGGAAAGUCAGGGGUGAAAUCCCGGGGCUCAACCCCGGAACUGCCUUUGAAACUCCCAGUCUUGAGGUCGCGAGAGGUGAGUGGAAUUCCGAGUGUAGAGGUGAAAUUCGUAGAUAUUCGGAGGAACACCAGUGGCGAAGGCGGCUCACUGGCGCGAUACUGACGCUGAGGUGCGAAAGCGUGGGGAGCAAACAGG